AUGAACGCUGGCGGCGUGCCUCAUCCAUGCAAGUCGAGCGAACAGAUCAGGAGCUUGCUCCUUUGACGUUAGCGGCGGACGGGUGAGUAACACAUGGGUAACCUACCUAUAAGACUGGGAUAACUUCGGGAAACCGGAGCUAAUACCGGAUAAUAUUUCGAACCGCAUGGUUCGAUAGUGAAAGAUGGUUUUGCUAUCACUUAUAGAUGGACCCGCGCCGUAUUAGCUAGUUGGUAAGGUAUCGGCUUACCAAGGCGACGAUACGUAGCCGACCUGAGAGGGUGAUCGGCCACACUGGAACUGAGACACGGUCCAGACUCCUACGGGAGGCAGCAGUAGGGAAUCUUCCGCAAUGGGCGAAAGCCUGACGGAGCAACGCCGCGUGAGUGAUGAAGGUCUUCGGAUCGUAAAACUCUGUUAUUAGGGAAGAACAUACGUGUAAGUAACUGUGCACGUCUUGACGGUACCUAAUCAGAAAGCCACGGCUAACUACGUG
This 496-nucleotide ribosomal RNA is filed under the name uncultured bacterium. RNAcentral's name for it is "partial 16S ribosomal RNA". It matches the Rfam family "Bacterial small subunit ribosomal RNA", at positions 29 to 507 of the family's 1533-position model. The record is from RNAcentral.